CUUGGUGGUUAUGGCGUCAGUGUCCCACCCGAUCCCAUCCCGAACUCGGCCGUGAAACCUGACAGCGCCGAUGGUACUGCGUCUUAAGGCGCGGAAGAGUAGGUCGCCGCCAGGC
This 115-nucleotide ribosomal RNA is filed under the name Sphingomonadaceae bacterium. Lineage: Bacteria; Pseudomonadati; Pseudomonadota; Alphaproteobacteria; Sphingomonadales; Sphingomonadaceae. The record is from RNAcentral.